RNAcentral lists this long non-coding RNA (242 nucleotides) under Brachypodium distachyon (stiff brome). RNAcentral's name for it is "long non-coding RNA (BDIS_LNC002748)". Lineage: Eukaryota; Viridiplantae; Streptophyta; Magnoliopsida; Poales; Poaceae. The record is from RNAcentral.
UUACUUCCAAUUCAGUUACCUAGCUCCAAUGAUCUCUAAACUGCUCGCCCAUUUAUCCUUUCCUAGCUCCGUCUCGAAUAGCCUGUUGGACGAAAUCAACCAGUGAACUUUUGUAAAUAGGCGUAUUGACUGUAUCUAGUGUAAAUAGGCGUAUUCAAGUAAUUGUAAUAAUCGGCGUCUCUCAGAAAUAUUUUUUCUGCAACAGCACAUGCAUAUAACAGAUUAGAAAAAUGGCACAGAGG